RNAcentral lists this long non-coding RNA (28590 nucleotides) under Xyrichtys novacula (pearly razorfish). The record is from RNAcentral. Lineage: Eukaryota; Metazoa; Chordata; Actinopteri; Labriformes; Labridae.
GUUUCUGUCAACAAACACGUCUUUAGGUGUUUAUUCUGUUGUGGUUCAGAGUAUUAUACCCUCGCUUUGAAUACAACUUUACGAUCCAUCGCUCUCUCUCGUAUGAUUCUGAACAAUUGGUAGCUGUGGGGAAGGAGACCAAUUAAGACGGUGCUUUUAAUCAUGAAAGCUGUAAAACUUUGCACUAAAACCCUCAGCAACCACUCUGUUAUAGCUGCUAUCAUGCUCAGGGGACGUGUCUCGGCGUAAAAACGUUAAUGAUCUUACCAGAGGUAAGUGUGUCGUUAUUAAUGUGAUGUUAUUAGAGGCUGUGUGUUAUUUAAGGAGUUGUUUCAGGCCUCUUAACGUGCUCUCGUGAACUGCUUGCUCCAUGUAUUGUUGUCAUGUCCAGCUGCCUCUCUGUUAUGUUGUAUGGUAUGUCCUGCCUCAGCCUCCACACUGUGACGACCAACUGCCGCAGAUUUUUAACAUAUCUGUGAUUCCGGUGGUUCUCUGCUCUGAGUGUUACUCUGAGGGAGCUUUGUUUGUCAUUCUAGAUGGUAUGUGUGUGCAUUCAGAUGGUUUCCCAUCUUGAAGUGUAAGGGCAUGCACUAACUAUUGAUUGCUGAAUUUAAGUGUCCCCGCUGUGACAGUCAAGUGGUUCUCUAUGCUGCUUGCUCAGACUUGGAAAUAUUGUCGCUUUCUUGUGCUUCACGCUGCUUUACACGCAAUUGUGAAACAUUGGCCCCGAGGAAUAUUUAUGCUGAUAUUUCUGUCCUCUUUCAACUCUCCCUCUCAAAGCUUUGACGCACUCUUUAACCUCCUGAGACCUGAGCUUUUGUUUGUCGAGCAUUUUUGAUUUCCCCUACCUACUUUGGAUCAGUUGAACAAGAUUUAAAACCUGAAUAUUGUCUUUGAACAGUGAGCAGUUUUUUACAAAAUGGGGCCAAUUGUGUUUUGUCACCAUGUUACACAAUGAUGACUCUGUUGUGUAACGGACUUAAUCUCAAUAUCUAAUCAUUGCCAUGCUAUUACAAAUUUAACUGUAAAUGGUUUCAUUUUAAUGCCCAAUGAUGACUGAGGCAUGGUUUAGCUGUAUUGGUUUUUUACCAGAUAAAGAGUCCCAAUGUCCUCACAUGUUUUGGUCAUAGAGGUCAUAGAGUUUAGCAGAAUUUACUAUUAAGGCACAUGGAGGCCAAAAUGUAAUGUUCGCAUAUAAGAAUCCAAGUUCUCUUUAACAAAAAUAAGGCAAAUAGAUUUUAAAUGCUGUUGAUAUUUUCACCACAGCUCGUAGUUGAAGUUACUUUGUAGAGAUCAGCAGUUUGGAGAUGCUCUCACCAGCUCUGCUGCCGCCGGUGCACAGAUUGCAGGACAGGAUGUUGCUCCAUUUUUCCUGUUAGAGAUGGUUUGGGUCCAGUAGCUUACAAAUUUGCCUGUUAAAUAUCAUUAUUCCCCCACUUAAAAAGAAAAAACAGCCUUAAAUGGACACAAAACUUAUUUAUUUAUGUAUUUAUUUUACCACAUUGUCAACCGGCAGAAGCCAGAUUCUUUUUAGAUGAUUGCACGACAUAUGUGAUCAGGUUGUUGCCGAUGUUGCUGUUGCUUUUGUUGGUGUAGUUAUGGAGUUCUGGCCAAUCAAAACAAACACAAUACUAUUUCAUACUUAUAUGUUCUUGCGCCACAUAAGCUCUUUACCCCUAAAACAACAGUUCAGCAGUUGUCAGAUGUGUAAGACCUGUUGUAAUCUCUACUGAAACAUUACAGGCAAAGUAAAUCUGAAUUAGGUUUAUUACUGGAAAGAUUCAAAUGAACAAGGAUUAUAUUUUGGCAUUAACAUAAACAGAAAUAAAAUAAAGUAUCCACAUGAGGGAAAAUGUGGUGAAUAAAUGAAUUAUAUUUUUUAUUAUCAAAGUGUCAUGAAGGAGUUUAAAAAUGCAAUGUGUGCCCGAAGACGCUUCAAAAGUUCAGGGUUUGAGGUACAGAGAGAAUGUGUAAUACGCAGAGAUAAUAAUCCAGAUGAACUGUGUUUCACCUUUAUAUAACGGAUGCUGUUAUUGGCAGCAGGUCUAGAGAAACUCUUCUUAUUGAGUCACAUCCUUAUGGGUCGCUAUCAGCUGCUAGAGGCUGGGGAGUGGGGUGGUCUGAGAGGGGUCAGCAGCAUCACCUGCACGCCUCAGGGUCUUGAAAGCUCAGAGGUCAUGGAGCAGUGGCAGAUUGCAGCUAAUCAUUCUCAGCACCAUCGCAGAGCAAAUUACAUGCUGCAGUCUGUCCUCUGUGAUAACUGGAAUGAGAUUACACUGAAAUUACCCAUCAUUCUCUCUGUCUCAUUAAAGGCAUGAGGAGAUAGCUUGGACCAUGGCAGUUUCAAAACUAUCUCUCCCUGCAUGUGUGACGUGUACACUUAACUGUACUUACAGGGCUCUAUUUUGACAAUCUAAAAUCACAGUCUAAAGUGUGUGAUGGAGAGUGAUUGAGUUUGUGUCUGAGACUGCAUUUUGCCACAAUCUGGGCACUAAAUGAGGAACAAUCCUCUGAAUUGAAAUACAUGAAAUAAACCAAUAUGUGCCUGGUCCUAUUCCCUUAAAGAGAUAUUCCAGCGUUAUAUUAAUUUUGGGUCAAAUACACCGCAACACUGAGUUAGACACCCCCUUGAUGAAUGUUGCCGACUGCUUGCUUCUCUAGUUAUACCAACUUUGGUAACGACCGCACGAUAGCAAUACACAGCGGUCUGAGGAGCCAUAUACAAACCUCAACCAAAACGCCACAAAUAAUGCUCAGAACAGCACCUAACUUCAUCAACAGUACAUAUAGGGUCCCAGCAAGAGCACUAGACACCAAACAUCUUUUUAGCUUUGCCUGAUUUCUUUAGCAAAGAGACCAAACACAACUCACCUACUCUCUUCCAGCAGCCGCUAGUUUGCAGCGAGACCUCAGGCCAGUCUAUUACGGACUACAAUGGGGUGACGCAGCUCAAGGAAGAACAUUUAUGAUCAUUUCUUCAUAGGAAUGCUAUCAGACCGAGACGCUAAGGCAGAAGAACUACCACGUCUGAUGUCUUACUACAAACAAGUGGCUGCUGGAAGAGAGUGGGUGAGUUGUGUUUAGUCUCUUUACUAAAGAAAUUAAGCAAAGUUAAGAAGAUGUUUGGUGGCUGGGAUGCUAUAUGUACUGUUGAUGAAGUUAGGUGCUGUUCUGAUCAUUAUUUGUGACUAUAGAGUGGCGCUUUGGUUGAGGUUUGUUUAUGGCUCCUCAGGCAGCUGUGUAUUGCUAUCGUGCGUUUGUUACUUAAUUUGGUAUGACUAGAGAAGCAAGUGGUCAGCAACAUUAAUCUCUCGAGGGAGUGUCUAACUCUGUGUGUUUGACCCUAAAUUAAUUUUACGCCGGAAUAUCCCUUUAAGGCGUCAGGUGCAUCUACAGGCAAGCAUGUUGCUAUGGUGAUCAAUUUAUCACCAUUUAUCAUCAAAACUAUUAUCUAUCAAUUAUAAAUAAGUCAAUAUACCUGCAGGGCUACUGCAGGUAUAUUCUUGAUAUGUAAGACCAAACACAAGCAUAAACAAGUAGGAUAAAGGCAACAGUGAAUGCACUAUUUAAGACUUAUAUCACAUGAUCAAUGCGGAAAAUAAAAGUUUCUUUGUUAUUUAAGUGCAUGUAAACACUCUAAGUAGAAGUAAAAACCACUAAACCAUCCAUACAGUGUGUGAGAGUAAGCAGCCGCCUGUAAACACAUUCCCAGGCUGAGGUAAACCUUCUCUGUUUCCUUUUCCCUCCCAUAAUGGGACGUGAAGCCUCCAGCUGAAAUGUGCUGACCUGUAAAAUCCCAGCUGUGGGCCCUGCGGUGCCCAACACAAACUGGGUCUUUCCCGCUGAAACUGAACGCCCAGGGUAACACGCCAUGUUUUGCUGCAGGAAACCAAAGAAUGUUUGACUGCUGGGCCUGGCGUCUGAUGGCAGUCUGCAUCCGUUUGAAGUACGGCCCUUCCAAGGCUGUGUCCAAAGUAAAUAAAAGCAGAGCGCUCCCUCGACCUCCAUCAAACACAUCACUCAGAAACAGCUGUUACCAUUUAGCUGGAAAAACCGCCAGCAUUCCUCCCUCAGAAUGUAUAUGGGACAUGUGAGAUAGCAAUCAACACACACAUUCCUUCAGUGUGGUCACACUUGCAAUCUCUCCUCUUCCGAGUGUAAACAGACAGGGCGGCUUCACUGCUCAGGUUGGAGUUGUGACCUCAGAAUAUUGUUUUGUUGUUUCAAACAUUUCUACACUGUGAUUAUAUCGUCUGGUUUGUUUUGCUCUCAUCCAGGAAUCUGAGAAAUCCUCUGAAUGGUUGCUUACACUUUUAGCUCAGAGAUAGUGUUUGUUUAUGCUAUUUACAGAUCACCGUGUGAGCGUGUGCUGCUGAGGACACCAUACUGGUAGAUAUAAGGAUGUUAUUACAGUACCUUAUCUGUUGGAAUUAGCCAAAGGAAGUCGAUCAUGAGCAGUCUCGUUAACCAAUAUUUGCAUCACAUUGUUGUCAAAUUGUGACCAAUGACCAUCAGUACGUGGAAGGGUUGUAGUUUAGGUGUCAGUCCUGCUGAAAUUGGACAUUUAAAAUCCAUGGUUGGACAAACACAUUCAGACAGUGUGGUUGGGGUUGAUUUUCUCUUGCAAGCUUACACCUUCAUCGGACUCAAACUGGCAUAAGUGGUCUGAGCAGUUCACAUGUUGAGUUUUACCUGGAAGUUAAACUGUAUAAAGCCAUUGUAGGAAGUCGUAGGGAGUCAAAUUUGAACCUGAAGUGGAAAAGAAAAAACAACCUUAAAUUUAGCUAUUUCCCUUGUUAGAGACAAGACUUGUCUUAAAAUUAAACACAUCAAUGUUCUUCCUUGAGCUGUGUCACCCUGUCGCAGUUGGUAUGGGACUGGCCCGAGGUCUCUAUACAAACAAGCGGCUGCUGGAGGAGAGUGGGUGAGUUGUGUUAAGUCUCUUUGCUAAAGAAAUUAGGCAAAGCUAAAAAGAUGUUUGGUGUCUAGUACUAUGGCUGGGACCCUAUAUGUACUGUUGAUAACCAGUUAGGUAUCUGUUCUGAGCAUUAUUUGUGGCUAUAGAGUGGUGUUUUGGUUGAGCGCAUGGCUCUCUGAUUGCUAUCCUGCAGUCAUUUCUAAAGUUGGUAUGACUAGAGAAGGGAGUGUUUGGCAACAUUCAUCUUUCGAUGGGGUGUCUAACUCGGUGUUAUGGUGUGUUUGACCCUAACUUAUUUUACACCGGAAUAUCCCUUUAACUAAUGUUAAUGUUAAUGUAAUUACUAUUUAUCACAUGCUUCAUGCCACCCCAGAAGUGUCAGUGCUGAGGUUAGGCCACUUCAGUCAUAAAGGUCUUGACACACCCCUGCUCAUUAUUGUACACCUUACCCUGAGUGCUAACAGGUGGAUACAUGCUGAACAGAGGGCUCUCCUGAUGGAUUGGAGGGACCAAGGUCAAAGACAAGGACUCUACUAACAGGUUAAAGUCAGACAACUUGACAAUGAGGUAGGUCCUUGGAGAACGCUGCUGUCUCUCUAAUGAAGUCAGUGUGGACCGCCCAUCAGAGACCCUCAGCUUGCCCCAACAUCAGUGUAAGAAUAAGAAUAACUGUGUCCUACAGCAAAAUAUGAAAAGGACAGUAAUUGAAGACAUAACAGCAUGCUUUCCAUGUGGGUUAUACCAUUAUUAAUAGUUAGCAGAUGAACAUAAAUUUGUCUUGGUAUCGUAAAGCUUUCGUAGACCUCAAACAGGCUCUUUUGAAAUAGCCUAUCUAACUCCCUGUGCCCCUCCAGGGUGUGUCUAUGCAUCAAAGAUACAAAAAAGGACAUUCUCUGUGUAAUUUUAUUUUAUCAAAGCUAUUUUUUAAAACAUAAUGUCUCAAUAUAAUGGGACUCAUAAGUAUAAAACGAAAUGAGCCUAUUAAAUAGUUCCAAAAUGUCCCAGUCAUUCUGCAGCAAAAAGCCAUUCCAACCCCAAAAGAGACAUUGGCAUCUUGACAUCUGAUUGGUUGGAAUCGCCUUCUGUGGCUGGUUCCUGGUCAUUCUUUGGUUCAGAAAGUAAAGGGAGGCUCAAAAGGCCGUAUAUCUGACAGACCAGGGGGAGAUACUUGCUGUUUUAACUGAAGGUUAAUGUGGAAUUGUAAACCCCACGUUUAACUGAGUUAUAUAAACCUAUGUCUGCAAGAGGAGCUUAUGGUGGGUGCGCCAUGGUCUGUCCAUGAUCAUGACCUGACAAGAAUAAGGGACCAAGAGGUCAUGAUUCAGGUCAAGGGUGAGUGGAAAUGCCAUGUUGUUACCCAAGUUUUCACAAUGAAACUAAAUUCAAAAUAUCAAUCUUACUGGAAAUUCAACCGUAAAUCAUCUGUGAUUGAUAUACUGUUUCUAAAGCUCUGCCUUUAAACCUCCUAGAUCCUGCAGAUCCAGUCUAGAGAAUGACUCACACUUCCUCUCCUGCUUCACGCUCCAUGGCCAUUCAAAUGUCAGACUGAUCCCAGCCAAGCAUAUUGGUCUUUCAGCAUCCAUUGUGUGUGCAUUUGCUGAACAUCAGGGGUAGAGAAAGUCUGAAGAAAAAUCCCUUCACUCAGGAGGUACGACAGAGCUGAAUCCUCACUAAUGCAACUUUAAUGAGGAGCGCCUCAGGAGAGGGAGGGUGUGUGUCCGUCUCAGCUGAUGGCUGGAUCCACACGUUGCUUUUACUUUUGCUGCGCUUUAGCUGCUCGUAGGUAGAAUAAAAGAAAAGCUCAAGACGCUACAACUCUGGAGUAAGAGAGGCAAAAACUUUGAGACCCGUCGAGAUAAGUUAUACCAAAGCCUCUGGUGAUGGCUGUAAUAUUUCAGGUUAGUCAAAUAAAAGUGUUAAGAGUUCCAUUAAAUACUCUGAUUUAACUUAUGGACAUUUACUUUGAAAAAUGAUGUAAUAAUUUUAGUAUUUCUGAGCUGGUGGUAUGCAGAUUUACAAUCUUCCACAGCUGCUAAAGCAUCAAAAGCCUAAAUGAACAUUAAGUUUAAUUGCAUCACGACUUGCCCGUCUUGUCCUCCGAUGCAGUCGGCCCAGUCUUUUUAUUUGAUAGUGGAACUUAAAUGACAAACCAAAGAAAAUUUAAGUCACGAAUUAGUUAUAGAGGUGAUUAAAUCAAAAUUUAACGAUGACUUUAACUUCGACGAUCCUUCUGUUUGCUUUUUCAUUUGAAAACUUAGAUUUGAUUUCCUCGGGGCAAUUGGGAGGUAAGUGACCAGGAGGGAGGAGCUAAGUUUGUCGGACAUAUAUCUUCAUAGCAAUGGCACUAAUUAUUAAAUUUAUAAAAGAUAUAACCUCAACGAACUAGAUUUACAAUUAACUGAAAAGGCCCCAGGAUGGAACCCUGAGGAAUACCGACAGUGAGUGGAAAAGUUUCGAGUUGACUAAAGGAGAUGGGAUUUAAAUCAAUUCAAGGUUUUGUUAGUCGUAAUGUGAGAGGUUAGACUGCCAGAGGAUGUGAUGAGAGAUGGUGAAAUAAAAAGACUUGAGGUAUCAUCCUGAUUCAAAGAGGACUCCAAGGUUGAGGCCAUAAAAAAGAAAGUUCGCUGGGCUCAUAAAUCAGAUGAAAAGUUUGGCCUUUAUCUGAUCUACUUGGAUGCAUACUGACUUUAUCUUGAAUCACCCCCUACUGGCCAUCAAAGGAAAUUCAAGCUGAAGAUAUAUUCAGCAUCAUUUUAGAGCUAAAGCUUGUGUCUAUUUCUUACUCUCAAAAAGUAGUCUGCACUGUCACCAUGGUCAAAUCUCACCUCAUAUAACUUCAACUCCCAAACACUCAAAUGUACGUUUUACAUUGUAUACUUCACAAUACAACUCUGGUGUGUGUUUAUGCAGUUUUCAACAAUCGUCUAACUGUAUGACAUCGAAAUGCAAAUCUUUACAUGUGAAUAUCAAACAUUUUAGGGCUGUAUUUGCAAACACUGAGCUGAUCCUGAGCCCAUUGUGGAUCCUGGCUCCUUGAUGGAUUAUUUUUUGGGGUACCGAGGGAAACACAAAUAUAUUUGUCUUCCAGAGCGGCCUGGGAUUGUUGUUCUGGCUUUGCAGAACAAUAAUCUGUGUGGGAGAGAGUUUAUUUGGAGACUUACAGUGCUUAUAAAACAUCAUGAGACUGUGUUUUCCAAAUUACAAUAUAUCAGCUUUCUUCUAGGAAACUGCUCUUCUCAAACCACAAGGCUGCUGCUUGUUGGGCAGCUUCUUAAAAAGCAUAAUAAGGGUAUUUUAGUGGCUUCAAGCAGAGGAAAUAAUAUUAUAUAUUUUAGGUUCUAAAUGGCAGUAAGAAUGAAACAUAAUCUUAAAGGGCAUUUGAGCACAAUGUAAACUUUGGUCGAUAGUCACCAGAUUACACCGUCAAAAGUAGUCAUUUUACCUUACAGGAUAAAUAACCACUCUUGUGCAGCCUUGAACACAGAGGGUUUGCUCAUGCCAAACAAUACAAUAUUAUAGAAUUUCACAAACAAACCAGCAGUCAAGGCAGCUGUGAAUGAGGAUUUUCAAUGUUACAUAAGGUAAAACUCUCCCGAGCUUGGUGCGUUUGAGGACACUGGAGCAACACUCACUUAAGUUUUUAAGACUCUUGUGGACCAAUGUGUAGCUGAUUUCUUUUAAUAUAUAAAUGAGAUAUUUGACACAAGAAGGUGAGCUUUAAACUCUGGAUUAAAACUAUGAGCAGCAUCUAAAUGUUUGGUUGUUGUUUUGGAGUACCCAGACAGGCUUAGAACUGUGAGAGUCCAGAUGAGUUCUCCUUUUUGUCAAAAUAAACUCAUAUCUACAUGAGACCCAUUUCCAUGCUUAAGUUCAACCCGAUCCACAAUUGAUAUUGUGGAAAAAUGUAUGUUACUGACUGCCUUAGAGCCAAAAAUACCUUUGAUUAAAAAUUGGACUUGGCCAAAGUCAAGAGGGUCUCUUUAAAAUGACACCAAACACAGAAUAGUAAAACACUGAAAAACAUCCUGAUCAUGGGCCUAAACCAGAGUACACACCAGCGUCUGAAUAGCAGUUUUCAUCAGGGCGCAGUUCAUUUCAUGAGCUGAGUGCUGUGACACAGCUGCUACUCAGUGAAGUCUAUCAUGCCAAAAUACUAACUACAGACACAGACAUACUAAAAUUUAUAACAAUUUGUUUUUCUCACUGAUAAUGGCUGUUUACAAAUCAGCUAGCUGUGGAUUGGUUGACAGACCAAAGCAAAGAUGGCACAAACAUGAAUCCAUAAAUAAUAACAGAUUACAUUUGUCUUUGGGGUAUUGGGUCUGAAGAGUGUCUGUUGAUAAACUGAUCUCCUCUGUGGGAUAGAAAAGCUCCUGGAUGUUGCAGAACUACACUUAAAGCUGUUGGCCUCACAUAAUGAGUGGAUUUUAUUAGGGUAACCAUACGUCCUCUUUUACCCAGACAUGUCCCCUUUUUUGAGGGGGUGUCCAACCUUGUCCGGCCUUGUCUGAGGGAGUUUAUAAAACCCUUCAAAUGUCCAGGAUUUUGUAUGGAUGUGUUGAGUUUGUGUGAACUUACUGAGUUAGCAGCGCGUAAAAAACACUCAACCCGAUCCAAAACCUCAAAAUUUACCAUGCGUCACUCCAUGUGCCCCGCAUAGUCAUGUCCUCUUUUUGGGGAUUCAGAAUAUGGUCACCCUACUUUUAUAAGUAAUUUAGCACAUUUUGCUGUCUUAUGUCUGUAGUCGGUCAUGUAAAUACAACAGCCUCUUACAUACAGUAUAAUCAUGUAGACUCGAUUUGAAGGACAGGAAACUUUCCAAAAGUUUCCCCCUCUUCAUGCUUUAUAGAACAGAGUUUAUAAAAACUUAACUGCAGGACUACUUUUACUGGAUAAAACACCUUGAUAUAACCUGUGCUAUGAUGCCAGCAUAAGUAAGCAACAGCAUGAGCAGCCCUCAGUAUUAAACACUGUUUACGACCUAAAAUUGGCAAAGAGUAUGUUAGUACUUGCUUUUGCAAUCUUUCAAGGCCGUUCAAAGUAAUGGCUUUCUGGCAUUGUUUAUACGUUAGAUACAUGUGUCUCAAGAAAUCCAGCCAAAUCUGUCUAAAAUCUUAAGAAACAGGUAGAAUAACAGCCUGAGUAUUGUCAAAGGUGCUCUCUACAUUGCAUCUAUCAUCACCUUUUUUUUAGCUGAACCGAAGCAAAGAAAGUCAGAAAAGAAAUACACUAAAAGUUUAUUUGAGGUUUAAAACCAUCAGCGUCCUCUUUUAAACCGACAUUCACAGCACCAAAUAUUGACAUUUGAAUAUCAUCAUCUCUAAACCGUCUUGUGAAUAGUCUGACACAGUCUGGGUGGGGCUGCUAACAGCUCUUACUCUCACUGAAUACCAGGAGGAUGGACGGAGACGACUGAGAACAGCUGAACAAACAGCCUUUCAUGUUGUAACCGAACCCCCCAAAUGCUUCAUUCACAGCCGCUGAUAAAAGAGUGUGAUGAAUGCAGGCUGCAGAAAACUCAUUAAAAACUACAAUGUCUGACACUCAGAGGCUGAUUGGGCUCAUUUGAUCAAUAUGCAUGCUGGACACAGUCGAGUGCUUCCUGGCUGCAGUCUGCAGUGCAUGGCCUGAAACGACCACAUGGCCUGUCUUUGACCCAGAGCACAUUCCCUCCCAUGGUCCGCUGGUCAGAGAGCUGGCAUUUUACCGGGCAGGCACAAAUACAGACUGACACGCCUGCAAAAUGUUACCCUGACUCAUUAUUGCGAACAGCGAGGGAUGUACUGACCUGGUGACAACCUGCAGGCUGGAGCAGAGCAGUAAAUUCCUUCACAGUACGAGAGGCCAAACACUUUGUCUGCAGCUAUCCUCACACCGAAACUGAUACCCUAAGGGGGUUAGAUUCAGCGGGAGGACACCAAUUUGACUGUUUAUACCAACACUAUUAUAAAAAUGGGAGCUGUCCACAUCUAUGAAUCACAGUGUUUAAAUAGGUGAGGGUCGGCGGAGUGAUCGCCACAUGCUGAAGAACCUUUUCUCAAGAUUGUGAAACUCAAACUGAGCCUGACAGCAGAGCUUUAGGUGUGUCUGUAUUGCUGGGUGUGAACGCAGAGCCGACCCAAGCCUAGAUGGGGCUCCAAGCAAAAUUUGAUUUUGGGGUCCUCUAUUUCUGCCAAUAAUAUUGAUUGUUGAUCAUUCACACACCUUCACAAAUCUCUUUGAUUAUCAUUCAAUUACACGCAAACAUACCUUUAUCUUGGCGUUUUUUCUCUUCUUCCUCUUUCUUUUCUCUGCUCCUGAGGGAUAUGUCCUUUUUUGCGACAUUGUUUUGCCCCACAACUACCUGCGCUCUGGAUGCUGAGUGCACAUUGCACCGCAGGAGGCACAUAACGGUAGCGGAGCUUUGACAUAUCGGUAGUAGGCAUACAUCACAAAAAUGAUUUACUUUAUUAUAAUUUUUUUCAAUAAUAUAUAUUUGAUCAUACAGAAAUCAUCACUCAUACAUGCAAAAAAUAAGAAAUAUUAUUUUUUGAUUGCUCUUGGGGGCCCCCUAUUGGGCUCGGGGUUAAUUUUAUGUAGUUUUUUCUAGUUAAUUUUUAAAUGUGUGAACUGAACUUUGUUCUUUAUUGGCGUAUGACUGUGUUGGUGUUGAACGCUCUCAUUCUGGCGUCUGUGAGCAUAAACAUGCUCAUGUAACAUAUUUUUAGACAUAAAUUGCUGGUACCAAACACAAAAAAUGCAGAUAUUUUAAGUCAAUCUCCAGGUGUAACACCCUUUAUGAUUAAUUUGGACAUCUUGAAUCAUGAAAGCUGAUCAUCUCUACAUCCUAAAUUUCACACAGAAGAAGCUGUUGGGGUUUUCAUUCUGAAACAUGUGACUGAUGGUCUCAUAUUACGUCUGUGCUUGGUCAAACACUUUCAGGUAAUUUAGUAAAUGAUCUGAAUACACCGUACCCCCCCUCUUGAAAAUCCUGGAAAAACAAACGUAUGCACCAAGGCUUGAAAAUGAUUUUAUGGUUUCUUUGAGGGGAAGACUGAGUGAUCUCGGCAGCCCCGGUCAGGAUUCGCAGACAGUCGGUGGUUGGAUAGUUUUAUGGUGUGUUUGAGGCUAUCCCAGGGUAAUGUAACCUGGGGCCUCAUGCAGGAGUCCAGGGAUCUGAACACAGCUGAUACGAAUCAACGAGGCAUCAGACAGGACCGCUGAGAUCGGAUCACACUUCUUAGAAUCUGACCGAGGGAUAAUUCUAGGAGCCGGGCAUCAGCGACAUGCUCUGUUUGUCUCCGACCUGCUUGGUCUUGCACGGCUGCUUCAGGAAUGUGGAGUUUCCUCAUGUUGCUGGUUAAAAUGACAGUGAUUUCAGCCUCAUGGUGAUUACAGCUCUGCUCGGCCGUGAGCCGGCUCACAGACUGACAGAUGCAGCGACCUGAGGGUCUGACUGUCAGUCAGGGACUUGGCCUUGGCUCCAGGGAUCACAAUGUCAAGUCCAGAUGUCCAGACUUGAAUAUCUUAACUACUGGAUGCUGCGGUUUCCAUGCUGAUUUGGCUCAGAUGUCCAGGAGGAUGAGUGCAGUGGUGACCGUGUUUGUCUCCAUCUGAUUCCAAGUUUCCACUUUUGCACUGAUAUAUCUCCACAUUUACUCUCAUUAAUUAAUUGCAUUUUAAAUGUGGCUGUAGAGCACUUCAGUCAACACUUGUUUUCAAAUGUGCUCUGUGAAUUAUUCAUCUUGACUUGGUUUUCAUUAAUUUAACAGUAUUUCUGUUUAAAAAUAGAAUCUCAGCAGCAGAGUGCCAGGCUGACAUAACUGUUGUGGUACUGAAAGAAUCAGUAAUGUGGAAAAGCACUUCAUGCUGCCUUUACCAUUUAGGAAGAGUGCACUUGUGAUGAAGAACAGCGUCAGUCUGAUAUAAGCCAAAAUCUGAUCUCUUCCUUUCUGACUCUACUUUGUUCAGUUUAUGUUGCAGGACUGAACUUUUGGUUUUAACUUUACCGCAUAUAUUAAUUAAAACAGGAAACUUAGGAUGGGGACAUUAUUUUAAUGCUCUGAUCAACUCUGAGUUUAGACUGAAAAGAUGUUAAGGCAGCUGUUAUGAUGUGAUCUCACUGGAUGUGGAUAAAAUCAUUUGUAAAGAUGACAUAAAUGUGUGGUACACACUGUGAGAAAUGAGGAUGUUAGAUGGCAAAUGACACAAAUUCACAACACAUUCAACACCCUACUGCCUUUAUUAUUUACACUUUAAAGGGAUAAUUUAGGGUCAAACCCAUUAUAACACCGAGUUAGACACCCCGUCAAAAGAUGAAUGUUGCUGACUGCUUGCUUCUCUAGUUAUUCCAAAUUUAGUAACGACCGCACGAUAGCAAUACACAGCGGUCUGAGAAGCCAAGUGCACACCUCAACCAAAACUCCACUCUAUAGCCACAAAUGAUGCUCAGAACAGCAACUUACUUCAUCAACAGUACAUAUAGGGUCCCAGCCAUAGUACUAGCCACAAAGUAUCUUUUUAACUUUGCCUAAUUUCUUAAGCAAAGAGACUAAACACAACUCACCUACUCUCUUCAAGCAGCCACUUGUUUGUAGUGAGGCCUCAGGCCAGUCCAUUACCGACUGCGGCGGGGUGACGCAGCUCAAGGAAGAACAUUUAUGGUAAUUUCUUCAUGGAAAUGCAAUCAGAACAAGACGCUAAGGCAGAAAAAGUACCGUGUCUGCAGUGCGAAAUGAUUAAUAUGGUGAUUAUUACUUAAAGAAAAUGAUACAGUAAUGAUCACUGAAGUAGGUAGGAAUAUCCCUUUAACUCAUGUUAGCCAAUCAGCAUGGAGAUCCUCUGGUAAUGGAGCUACUCUGAACUAUUAGAUAUGACUUCUUUUUGUGGAAACAGGGAUAAAAAAGAGCUCAUUGUGAGAAAAGUAAGUGAGGAGGUUAAUUUUUCUGGUAAAUUGUGAGAACAAAACAAAUCCUCACAAUGUCCCCAACCUUAACUAUGUUUGAUGUAAACAGCCUGAAAUGGAGUAAAGGAAACUCAACCUUUCUUGUGUAAAUUCAUGUAAGUGGGCACUUGCAUUGUGUGAAUUGACGCACAUAUGAAGUGAGUAAUUUACACAAAAUUAAAGGCACUGUAACAAGUUUUUAACAGGAUGGGAAACAGACCUGGGGUAGGUAUCAGACUAGACGACUGACAGCAAAAAUAAUAAAUGAAAAAUGGCCUUUUAAAAAACAAAAUAGGACAACAAGAUGAGAUGUUAUAUUCAUGGAGGGAAAACACUACUUUCACAGGUACAGGCCCAAAGAUAAGCGGUUUCAAUUUGUCCACAAGAGGUGCCACUAUCAACACAAAACCAAAACGUUUCUCACAACAGCUUUAAGCAUGUUCACUCUAAAUAUUCAGCCUCCUUUUAGGACAAAUUUACAUUACACUGAAGGCAGAAGCAAACAUAAACAUGAAAAGUCUUAAACGUGUCACCAUAAUGCUAAAAAGUUCUGUACAUUUUUGUCCUGAAAUAUGCGCUCACUCAGCCAGCCUCAGGGAACGGAUUGUGUACACAACACAAAUAACACACUCACCUACACUCAUUUUAAAGCCCUCUCCUCUGAGAUGCUGAGGUGUAUCAUUACAUCCUUCCGGGUAGAUUCUCUGUCGUACAGGUCAUCUCUCUGGCGCCUUCCUCCUCCUCCUCCUCCUCCUCCUCCUCCUCCGAGUAUAAUGAUCUACACAUGUUUAGGAUUUCUCCUUCAGACCUCACAUUCCACAACCUUCAAAACUAUGACGUCUUUACGGAGCAGAGGACGGCAUUCCUGACCUGAACAUGUGCUCGGCUUUCUGCCUAAACACCCUCAGGCCUCCGACAGUCACACACCGCUCAUCUGAGUCUCUAUCCGAAAGUGUUGAAAUGCUCUGUGGGAUUCAGGUAGUGCUAUUCUAUCUUCAAUCUAAGCAGAAAAGAAGCACAAUUUCAUCAUCCUGAAAUCAAUUGUGUGACGGACUCAAUUGUGGCAUGGUGUUGAUAAAAUCUGUUAUUAUUGCAGCAUCUGUCCGUCUUUGACAGUAACUAUCAUAACAUGACUCCAAAGGUCAACCCUUGAUUGUUUCAGGACCACAAGAAACAUUUCACUAAAAACCAAAAACAUAAAAAUACCCAAUAAAACUCCAAAAACAUUUCAUAAAAUGCCAACAUAAAAUAAAGAAACCCCAAAUUUUCACAGAACCCAACAUUUUUUUCAAGAAGGUCAAAGAUUUCAUGCAAGAAUUUUUAAAUCACCCAUAAACGUUUUACUAAAAGCAAUAUUUAAAUACAAAAAAUCUUAAAAAGUGCAAAAAAAAUGAAUAAAUAAAAAUCUUAAAAAGGGCAAAAAAAAAUCUUGAAAAAAACCCCAAAAGGCGAAAAUGUCUCACAACCACCUCUAAGCCUCUAAAAAAGUACAAAAUUAAUUUGAAUUAAAUUCAGAGAAACGUUUCCUAAAUGCAAAAAAAGAAAAAAAAUACAUUCAUUAGCCGUAAAAAUAUUUUGUGCAUUUGACCUUCAGGGCCACCGUACCAUCAAGUCUGUCAGUGCUUUUAAACACAGGAUGCGAUCGUUUGACAUCCUUCAUGCAUCCCUGACAUUGUGAGUUCCUUGCAACGCACAGAUAUAAGUAAAGAAACAACACAAGUGUCACUGUCAGUUUGAUUUCUCUGUUGCAAAUAACUGGAGGAGUAAAAUCCAACGCAUUUGUCAGCACUGAAUUUUAAAUCUUGGAACUAAAAGGGCGGGAUGAAGAAUUGAUGUAGAGACCUGGACUUUUGUGAUGCUACUGCUGAGACAGUAAAAGGGAAAAAUAGAUUUUGGGAUUAAUAAAGAGAAAGGACACUGAGCGGAUUUUCCUGCUAAUUUGACACAUUGGAUCACCACUUCGUGACUUCCUGCAGUGAUGCUAAUGAAAUAAAUGAGGGUAAAGUCAACAGAAGCUGCUCAGCUAAUGAAGACGUUGACUGUUUUAAUUGAAGCUGCAUGAGGUGCGGGUCAAUAGUGACUGUCUUACCCAGAGUCAUUCUGCUUGAUUGCAUAUGUUCACCAGUAUAAGUGGUUUAGCAAAAUUUUCAAAAGUGAAAAUCUAGAUACUCUCUGUGACUUCCUCUGCUGCUUCCUGAGGCUAACAUCCUCACUUGUUUACUUCUUUUAGAGACCCACUUAACAUCUACACGGCUGCAGCGAUAUCUUUGCCUGGACUUGACUUUGGAUCAACUGGUAGGUUCCCACCUGAGGAUUUCAGGCUGCCGGCUGGCUCACAGGGAGUCAACAACUCCAAUAUGCAGCUCAAAGCUAGACCUGUGAGAGCUUCAGCACUCAAUCAUUGACAUUUCCUGAACUUAAUUAAUUAGAGAAGUGUAAACAGAUACUUGGUCUAAAAUAAGCAGGAAAUACCCAUCUGGAUAUGGUGAAUGUGGGCUGGUGAGGAUGUGGUUUUAUUUAUAUUACCCAAACAUGCUGCUGUAAGUGUGCACCAUAUUUAGACUUUUUUUUCUAACAUGCGUGCACUACAUGUAUGCUGCAUCCUCCGCCUGCAGAGCAAUGACAAAAACAGACAAGGAUUUUUGCAGGCAUAGAUAUUUUCAUUCUCAGAAUGGUUGGACAUGACAUAGGAGUGAGGUACAUUGUUUAUGUCUUUGCAUUAAUGUUGAAGAAAGAUUUAUUUAUGCUCUGAGUGGGGAACAUCAGACCGGUUUAACCAGAAUUACAGCCCCGCAGUUGUGUGCCUCCAAGCAGUCACGUUUCAGUUUAUAUCCCACCAUGUGUUUCCCUCUGACUGACAGCAUAACUAGCGGGGAUUGGGGAUAUUGAGUAUUUGCAUAUUGGAAAUAUUUGAGAAAUGCCAUCUCUGUACGUAAACCCACAUUAUCCAUGAGCGGUUAUAUCAUGAUCUGUCUGUGUUUUUCUCAGAGAAAAAGUAUGAGACUGUCAGUAUAGCAAAAGCAGAAUGAACAGGUUUGCUACGGUUAGAGUGAGAGAGUUUGCAGGAUUGUCCUAAAAUCCAGUAAAUAUGAAAUGUUGCUUCCAGGCAUUACUGAAGCGAGAAGCGAGAAUGAAGAUAGGAUGGACACGGAUCACCUAAACUUUAACACCUAAAUUGAAUGACUUUAUCUUUGGAUUCGGAAGGACAUUAUGUCAAAUUUGUGGGUAUUCCCUGCAGGUAUUGUUGUGUUAUUGUGUUUACGAGACUGAGAUGGGAGAAAUGAGCAGAAAGGACUUUUUUUGAGGGAACUGUUGUUGUCAUUUCAGAUGAAACAUGUCAUCACUUCAUGAUUCUACCCUAAAAUAUUGGUGUUUUGUUUGAUAUCAGACAAAAUUUACUCUUUUCCUUCCAAUGAUAUUGUUGUGAGGCCGUAGAGUCCUCACUCACCAACUAUUGUUAAGACUAAAGGAAGGUGCACAUUCCUCGAGCACCUAAGCAAUGUUGGUUUGAAGUAUAUAUUAAAUGCAUAUGAUGUUUACAUUUCACUCUAAAUAUGUAGUCUUUUUUUUCCCUUUGGGGAAUUCUGUUUUCCCUUUUGUUAUUGUUGCAGCUUCUCUCACUUGGAUUGUCUGCAGGUGAGAGUGGCCAAACCUGAAUUCUGUGAGGCUGUGAUUAAAGCUGCAGGUAGCAGAGCAUAUGAGCUGAGUGAAAUCAGCAGAUGUGUGGCAUAUGAGAUGUGAGGCUGUGAAGAGAGCCAGUUUGUUGGACUUUUGUUGGACUAAUGUUUCAUUUUUUCUUCCUCUGCAGGGGAUAUUUUUGCAAAGUAUAUAACUGAUUUGACAUUUUUUGUCUUAUUUUGAUGUGGCUUAAUAAAUGUUCUCCUCAUUUUUGAGAAUUCACAUCUUGUUUGAGAUUUGAUGACAGAUAUCUUGUUUAAAAGACAGAGGUCUGACCUCUUGCAGAAAGUCCAGUCAGGAAGUCUAAAUUUUGCACGCACGGCCUGUUUAUUUCUUGUUGCAUUCUGCUGUUUGGCUUCAUUACAUCUAUUUUUUUUGUUUUGAUUUUUCCUCUUUUUACAUUUCAUUCAUGCUUUUAUAAUGUUCCCUCAGCUCUAGAUGACACCAUCGCCCACCACCUCUACCUCGGGGUGAAAACAAUACCAUUAGCACAUCUCUCUGCAGAGUCAAAGUGCUAAAGACUGUCUGACACGUCUUAAUUGCCUCAUCAUGUGUAACAUUUAAUGCUAUAAUUGCUUCAUUCACGACCACUCAAGUUGUGACACUGUGUAAAAUGAUGAUAAAAGAGAUUUCGAAGGUUUGCACAGCAUUUACAGCAUUUAUAAUUGAUAAAAAAAAGCAAAGACAACAUAUUUUGUUGCACGGGUUUUACAAUAUUCCUUUUGAGUUUGAUACCAGCAACAUUUUUAUAACACUUAUAACAGGAUCAUGUUUUCUUUAGCGUGUCAUUAGCUCUGUAAAUGUUUGUGAACCGAGGAGACCAGUUUCUGUAGCCUGGCUGGGCCAACCAGUUGUGUGAAUCACUUGCCGUUCCUUCCCACAACAGUCUGGACUUUUGGGAGCCCUAAAAGUGGGCGGGAGUACUUUCCUUGAUAGACAGACUACUGUAACCAAUCACCGUAACCAAGCAUCUGACGUCAUCACAGUGCGCAACUGUGUUCCCUGCUGGGCUCUCAAGCAUCAAGUAAAGGUUUGAUAAUAUUUCAACGUGUGCGAGCAAACAAUGUCUUUUACGUCUUCUUCUGCGGAUAUAAAUGAUUUCUGCCGACUUUGCAAAGUCAACUGCAGAAUUAACGGCGUUCUGAAUGAACAGCGCUCUGAAUGAACAGCGCUUUGAAAAGUCCCGCAGCAUGUGUUAGACAUCUCCAUCUACACAUGGACCAAUCAGGGGCUGCCUUUCCCUGUUGUCCGGAGAACAGUGGAAACACAGUCUCUGAUUGGCCCGAUUAUUUUCUGAUUUCUAAUACUUGCUCCCAAUUGGCCGAAGUCCAGACUGUUGUGGGAAGGAAUGGCAAGUGAUUCACACAACUGGAUGGCCCAGCCAGGCUAGAAUUUCUGGGGUCUGCUCAACAGUUUAGGGUCUCCUUUGUUGUGAUUUUGUGUCAUGAUGCAAACUCUUUGACCUUUUAUAUUCAGGAACAUUAUUCAGGAUUGCUGAACUUUCUUCUUUUCCUCUGAGAAACCCAGUCAUGUUGCUAACCUGUUACAAAUAAACCUCAGGGAGAUGUUCCUUCAGAAGUUCUUAACUAUUGCACAACUGUUUCACCUGUUUUGAACUUUUUUGAAACUUUUUUUUGUUGUUGUUGCUGCAACAGGUCUCAGUUCCAGCUAAAAGAGAGUUGUGAAAGACAAGUGGAAGAAGACAUUAAGCAUGCAAAGCUAAGUUUAAUCUCACUAACAGCUUGUUUUGGUUCUGUGAGAGAUAACACUUGAUUAGGGAGUGUGCUUCACCUUGUGUUGUUGCCAUACCAACCUGACCGCUGUGACAAAAAGAGACAGAGCAGUGUAUUUAGCUGAGCCAAUCUUUUCCAUCCAAUUUAAAGCGUCCCACUGGGUUUUCUCAGUAAGCACUGCCGGUGCAAUUCUGCUCCUCUGUGUAAUUUCCCUGAGACCUGUGUGAGCUAUGUGGAGGCUUGAUGGGCUGUGGUGGGAGGAAGCUAUAGAGCAAUGAAUUAACUUGCAGCCACCCAGGGGGAUCCUUUGUGCUCCUGUCUCCAAGGACACCUGACUUAGACUUGGCGAACAAACAGCCAUCUCACACAAUAAUGGGAAAUAAAUAAUGUUCACAGGGAAGAGAGAACAAGGUUUCCCUUUGGGGACACGGGACACAAAGAGAGGAAAAUGAAUGGCAGCUUUGUGUUUUGUUUUGGACGUAUUAAACCCCUGGACUUAAACAAUAAGUCACUCUAUCAGAAAAGUGACACAGAGUGGUUUUAUAUUCAGUAAUGACUAUUUGUUUUCCACAAGGAGACUUAAUGGAAAAACUUUAGGCAAUUCACAUCUGACAGCUUAAGCUGGAAAUACCUCAUAUCAUCUAAAUGAAUCCUGUUUAUUUCUGUCCGCUUCUGCUUUGGGACAUGAUGGCUGGACUCUGGGGUAAAGCAGGUUGUCUGUUAAUGACUAAUACCUUUAGAUCCUCUGAACCUACAGUGACCACACUAAAGGCAUUCACAUGCAGGUCAAGCAAGCAAUGGUUAUUGCAUUCGUAUGUGGAAUGCCAUAGCCUAAGGCAGGGAGCGCACAACUCCGGUUCAUGAGCAUAUAUGAAAAGCCAUGGCAGGGAGAGCAGCAGCAAAGACUCCAACGCUCUGUUUCGAGAGCUUCCUGCUAUUCUGUGUGUGUAUGGCAUGCCAAAGCCUAACGCCCAAUUUCCACCGUAUCCGGAACAGCAGCGAUUUUUGCCGUCCGCCAAUUCCUACCAGAUCUAUUUAUGAGGUGAAUUUUGUGGCGGAUUACGGACAGAGGAAAUCGCGAGAACUCACAAGAACCCGCGAAUCGCGCAAUAACGGGUUGUCUUUAAUAAGAUAACCAUAUAUUAUACAUAACCAUAUAAGCAGUAGAUUGUGUCCUUCUAGAGGAAGAAAUCCACUUUCAGCACGGGCUCAUCUGUGCUGAAUUUAUCAUUCAUGCUCUGGCGUCUGCAAAAAAUAGAACUGUUGCGAUCAGCUGUGGAGUCCGGCGAUCCACAGUGGAAUGGAAAGAAGCUGAUGGAAAUUGACACAUUAACUUGAAAGGUUACCAUCAGCCGCGGUUGGCCGAUACAGCCAUUUCAUAUCCGUACUGGAUGCGGGGGAAAUUGGGGGUAAGGCAAAGAAAGUACACUAUCUCUAUGUUUCAUGUGAGUAGUGAAAGCAGGGGGAGCAUCAGCAAAGAUAGAACAGCGUUGGUGACAAUCAAUGUGACACUGGCAAAUGAGGAGCCGGGAUGGAGGCAGGUUUUUGGAGGAAGCAGGUGGGCUGAAACGGUUUAAAUAGAACAAGCAGAAAUGUGAUAGUCAGGAUCAUCUGCUACUCAGUAGGUGGAGCUUGACCUCGUGGCCUGCCUGAACCGAUGCCACGCUUCUUCUUUUCUUUGCUACAAUGCUAAUUGCUGCUUGUGUACAAGCUCAUUAUCUGUAACCCUUCAAACCCCUGACACACACACAAACACAUUAGCGCACACACACGUCUGUUUGGCCCAUGCUAAUGUGCCACAUGCUGGUCAGGCUAAGAGGGGGCUGAGGGACAGAUCUUCUGUCCCUUUUUUUUCCCACUCCAUGUUUGACCUCAAAUUUGUUCUGGUCCGCCAUAAUUCAGGGUCUCCAACUCUCUUCUUUCUGCAGAUUAUUGCUCCCAAAAUAGGGAAUAAAAGGGGGACUCGAGGGGAGGGACAGGGCAACCAUCUUGAAAGUCCUUGACCGUGAUUAAUCUACUUCUCCAUUUGGGAGUUUAUUAUAGUUUGGAUGCUCUGUUGGUUUUAUUUCAGUCUUUUACUAACUCAAAAAUAAAAUUAAAAACUGGACAUUUUUUCUCAUUAUUAGAAGGAAUUUCAUUUUUAAUAGUAAAUAAAGGAAGAUUUUAGACUGCUGAGAGAAGAAGAAGAAACUAAUUUUUUUUAGUGUCUCUACACAAAAUGUCAGAACUGAUCGGCUUUUGUCUGAUCGUUUGGCCUCUUGCAGUGACGGCCAAUACUUACAGGAUUCCAGUGGAGUCAGCUUAUAUCUGGAUAUUGGAUCAUUAGUAUUCAGGCCAGGACUACCUUUAUCUUGCCGUGUGAUUGUUUGCAGUCCACGCCAGAAAUGAGUGCGUGCAGCUGGAUUGGCAGAGACACUGAUUUUGCAAAAAAGAGCUGAAUGAAAAGCUGAAGUUUAUGGAUGAUAACUAAUAGCUUCCAGAUCACAAUUUUGGCUGCUUUCUUUUGGCAUUUUUCAUACUUUUUUUUCAUUUUCCAAAAGGACUAUUUUCUGCGCAAAAUCAGAUGCCAGCUCAAACAUUAUUAGUCAAUAUUAGCCGCACAGCAAACAGGAAAACAGACGCUGUAAAUCCCCCCCAAAUCUCCUCAGAAUUUGCAGAUUUCUGCUCGUAGAGAUGAUUGCAACUUUGAGUGCGAACAGGUGCAUCAGAAGAAAAGUGGCUCUUGAAUACAAAUGAGAAAACAUCCACAUACCGCCUCACUUUGUGCUUGGAUGUGAAUUUAGAUAAGAUGGUUUCGGUGUGUUUUCACCUUAUCACAUGUGCAGAAAUACAACCAGUGAGGAAGAGAGAGAGAGGAGCUUUCUAAGAAUUUUAUCAGGCAUAAUGUGGCAUCAAAUCAUAGAGUCAUUGAUAUUGUGAUGUUUUAUUACAAUUACAAUGUCAUUUAGCAGACGCUUUUAUCCAAAGUGAUGUACAUACGAAGCAUACACCAGUGGAGGACACACACUGGGAGCAAGGUAGGAUAAGUGUCUUGCCCACGAACACAACAGACAGACAAAUGAUAGGGUGGAAUCGAACUGCCAACCUUCCAGUUAUUGGAUGACCACUCUACCUCCUGAGCUACUGCCACCAAAAAAAUCCUCUUUUAGAUUGAGUUAUUGAUUGUGAGCGAGUCCAAACAUGUCAACAAAUGACAACAGUAUUAAAGAAGACUUAUAAUUAAGUUUACCUUUUAAUAUUUUAGUCUUGGACAUCUAUAGAGUUUCUUAGCAUGACUUGUAGUUUUAAAACCGUAUUAGCGUCUGUAAAAACCCUAAUGUCAGCACUUUUUGGACAAGGCCUGAAAUGCUUCAUUUUGGCUGAUUUCACACUAAUAGAAAGUUAGACACAGCUUGGGGAGCUACUUUGUACACAGCUUUGUAGUCACAUAAAAAAAAAAAAAAACACCUGAGGCCCUUAGCAUCCACCUUACAGGCAAUUUCCACCGCAUCCGGAACAGCUAUGAAAAGGUUGUAUCUGCUGAUCGUAAUAUGUCAAUUUCCACCGGCUUCUUUCCAUUUCGCUGCGGAUCUAGAAGUAGAUUUCCUCCUCUGGAAAGAAACGAUCUCCUGCUUAUAUGGUUUGCCUAUGUGGCUAAAGACAACUUGUUAUCGCGGGUUCUUGUGAGUCCUCGCAAUUCCUGCUGUCCUCACAAACGGAUCCGGUAGAAAUUGGCACACGGCGAAAAUCCGACCCGUUCUGGAUGUGGUGGAAAUCCCAGGUUACUCUGCAUUACAUAUAAACUAUUGUUAGGUUAGCAGACUGUAUAUACUCACAGUUUAUUGGUGUUACUUUUUACACAGUCUUGAAGCAUGAAAUGACCAGAAAAAUCAUGCUUUCACAAAAAAUGUUUUAGACCAGCAGUUGAUGCCAAAUUAACUCCACUUUACAUGUAAGCUGUUCUUACAUUAGCUGCUGCUAUUAUAUUACCUACAGCCUGAGGGUGUUACUUUUUACACAGCUCUAUUACACUAUAUGAAGCUUGAUUUGGCCACAUGCAUUUGUAAACGGAUGUUAGCACAUGCAUUGGAGAUGAGUAUGAGAACACAGUCCGGGAGUUAAUCAAAGUGUUGAGAGUGAGGCGUGUCUUGAUGGAGUGGGGGCUUUAAAAGAGUGAGAGGUGGAUGCUGCUGCUGCUGCUGCUGCUGCUGCUGUUGGCUCUGAUGUCUGUGCUGCACUGACAGCCAGAGCUUACACUGCAAAAACCCACAGAGCUGCUGACUCCCCGCUCUGACACACUGACCUCCUGAGAGAGAGAGCGAGAGAGAGAGAGAGAGGUGGGAGUGGUGGGGGUCUAUGGACUUGUCAUGUUUCUGUGUCAUUAAAGUCUAUUAAAGGUUGCUCUGCUGUAUGGGGUCAGCAUGUCGUAUGACUGUGACUGCAGUUUAUUAUCAUGGCAGAGGAAAAAAGAGAGGAGGGGAUAUUACUUUAUUUUGGAUUUAAAAAGAGUCAAACUUCAAUCUAAAUAAAUAAAUAAAUAAAAAGAUGAUUUUAUUUUCUCAUAUGGGAAUGAGAAUGAAAUUUAAAUGUCAAGGAUUAAGAUGAAAUGCUGAAAAUGCAGCAAAAUGUCAUGAGUAAAAGUUUUACUUUAAGUAUUUCUGGGAUCACAGUAAGAAUUCUAGUUGGUGUUGCUGAAUCGUUUUCAUCCAAUUAACAUAAACUUUCUUAUAGACCAAUCAGUACGUUUACAUGACACUUGAGAAAACCGGAUUAUUACCUUAUUCCGAUUAAGACCGGACAACUGAAGUGCAUGUCAACACCUCAGCAUGUAAACACCUCACUCAAUCGGAGUUCUCAAACUCCAAUUGGAGUCGGAGAACUCUGAUUAGGACACCCAGAUAAUGCGAUUGGAAUUUGAUUUUCUCUACCAUGUAACCAGCGUAGUCGGAGUAUGAUCAGAUAAUGCAUGUACGUGUGUGCCACGCCCCUGUAACUCUGGAACAAAAACACCAGAGAAGAGGAGUAGCGUGCAUCUCAUCUGCAAAAAAGUAGCAUGUACAUCUUCUUGCCCGAAAAUGCCCAGCAGCAGUUGUAGCCACUUUUGGCCUAGUGUUGUUGUCGGAAACAGCGCCGCUGAAAAAGACCCAUAUCGCCCCCUAGUUUUGGGGAGGAGUACACGUUCACAUCAAUAAUUAAAUUUUCUCAGCUGCAUGUAUAUGCGGACAACUCUGAUUCGGUGAAAAAACAAAUAAUUUUUUUGUGAUUUUUCUCUUCAAUACACAUCAAACAUACAGACCUGUUACUCAGAAUAACUAUUUCUAUUCCCACUCUGACAUUACACCAACGUCCUUGACCCUAACCUUCAAAUUCAAAAGGUUAAUCUGCUGCUGAUAUAGUAAAGAUGGUGGAUUACUCCUGGAGAGCCGCCAUGUUUUUGAAUCAACAAGUAAAAUCUGACAGAUGUCUUGACUGUCAGAGUGAGACCACGCUGAGUGUUAAUGUGCUGCUGGUUAGAGAGUGUGAAAAAACAAACCUGCUGUGAGACUCGGCUCUGCUGUCGCUCUGGAGCAGUUUGAAAUUUGAUUUCCCUGCAAACCAAAAGAGGUGAAACUAAACAAACAGCAUAUCUCAAAAGAUAGACAGUCGAGGAGUAUCAUCCAAGUAACGGGAAAUGUUUGAGUCGGGCUUUGAGUCAGGGUCCUGCUCACCUUGUUGCGAUAACUUAAGUUUGUGGGCUGAAAACCAGCAAUACCAAAAUCUGUGUUUAUUUUCAGAGAAUUAAAAGGAAGCUGAGGUUUUGAUUGUGAAAGAGGAAGAAACGCUGCAAGGGAAUUGUUUGUUUUUCCACUGUUUACUCUGAAUAACCCUGCUUGUAUUAAAAAUGGGCCACAGUCCCCCCGGUCAGCCUGAGAUUCACCCCCAAACAAGUCAGGAGGUUCCUUUUGGCAGCGAGAAAAAAGACUUCCUGCUGAGAAGAGUCAUUACACAAACCAUAAAAAUCAUUAUCAGGCCCUAAAAAUCAUGCUCUUUACGCAGUAAUAAUUUAAGGAAUCUUGAGACUUCCAUUAAAAGUGAAAUGCUCCCAUUGUGGUGAGGAGUGUCCUGAAGGUCUGGCCCACAUUCCAGAUCUGGAUCAGUCAGAGGGUGGUGGGAGAAGCCCUGAGGGGGCCGGUUGAGGCUGAGGACAGUGCGUGAGAUCUCACCCCGUACCCAGCUCCCAAACCUUUCCCCUCAUCUGCAGACAAAGAGCAGAUCUGAUGUGAAACAAAGAGCAGAUCUGAUAGAACACAGACUCACAGUACUGACACAAAUACAACUUAACUCUAUUACAGCGAGCAUCGUCAUUUGGGCCGCGGGGGCAUCAGGGGUCUUUGAGGAGAUCCUAGGAGUUCAGGGAGAGUUUAACUCAGUUGUUAUUGAAAAAGCAGAGUGAUACCACAAACAGUACCUUCUCCUAAUGGUCUAAAACUGGGAGUUUGUUUUCACAGUUUCUGUAUUUGACAUUAAUUUUCAAUAGAUGACAUUAACCUUAAAUAACUUUGUGUUUUAAGAGUACCUGGCAGCAGAGACAGUGGGGAGUUGAGAGUUUAUCUCUGCUUUAAUUUCAUGUUGUCGUGACCUCACCCGCGAAAUUUAAUCUCCUUCAUGCCAUUUUCACAAACCUUUCAAGUUAGUAGACUUUUAAAGUUGAAUAUGGGUUCCAGUUUGGAUAUUUGAUCAAGACCUGUGUGAUUACAGAUGGUACAAGAUAGCUAAUAUCAAGUUUCUAUACCAAAUCUUUCGUCACUGCUUUGAGUGUGAAAUUAUGUUGACUACUGCAGAGAUCUGAUGUUCCCUUUAAAGGGAUAUUCCAGCGUAAAACUAAUAUAGGGUCAAACAAACCGUAACACUGAGGUAGACACCCCGUCGAGAGAUUAAUGUUGCCGACCACUUGCUUCUCUAGUUAUACCAACUUCAGUAAUGACCACACGAUAGCAAUACACAGCAGUCUGAGGAGCCAUAAACAAACCUCAACCAAAACGCCACAAAUAAUGCUCAGAACAGCGCCUAACUUCAUCAACAGUACAUAUAGGGUCCUAGCCAUAGUACUAGCCACCAAAUUUCUUUAGCAAAGAGACUAAACACUACUCACCCACUCUCUUCCAGCAGCCGCUUGUUUGUAGUAAGACCUUUGGACAGUCCAUUACGUACUACAGCGGGGUGACGCCGCUCAAGGAAGAACAUUUAUGAUCUUUUUUUAAUAAGAAUGCUAUCAGACCGAGACACUAAGGCAGAAGAACUAACGUGUCUGCAGUGCAAAAUGAUUAAUAUGGUGAUUUUUACUUCAAGGAAAUGAUAAACAAAUGAUAAUAUAUGUUCUUCCUUGAGCUGCGUCACCCUGCUGUAGUCCAUAAUGGACUGGCCCGAGGUCUCACUACAAACAAGCGACCGCUGGAAGAGAGUGGGUGAGUUGUGUUUAGUCUCUUUGCCAAAGAAAUCAGGCAAAGCUAAAAAGAUGUUUGGUGGCUAGUACUAUGGCUGGGACCCUAUAUGCCCUGUUGAUGAAGUUAGGUGGCUAUAGAGUGGCGUUUUGGUUGAGGUUUGUUUAUGGCUCCUCAGACCGCUGUGUAUUGCUAUCAUGCGGUCGUUACUAAAGUUUGUAUAACUAGAGAAGUAAGCGGUCGGCAACAUUGAUCUCACGACAGGGUGUCUAACUCAGUGUUAUAGUGUGUUCGACCCUAAAUUAAUUUUACGCCAGAAUGUCCCUUUAAUUGACCGGUGCACAAAACAUGUUUUGAUAGUAAUGAAUUAAUAUUGAUAGUAAACUUUGCAGUUUGAAUAUUCAACAGUUUUGAGUUGGAUCGCCUUAUUUCCUUUGAACUGCUGAGAUUCAAGCAGAAGUCCAACUCUGUGCACGCGCUGACAGACUCUGCUGUGUCUGCAGCUGGGCCCUGCUCCUGUAUUUGGUUGUGUUUAUGAAAUGCCGCAGUUUGAGAUCAUAAGCAGGAGAUCAUUAUCCCGCUCAAGGUCACCGAGCAUUUGGCCACAGCUGGACUCGAACCUCUGAACUUUUCAUGGCGGUGCGGUUGCUCCUGCUGCUCCGCCAGCCUGCUACACCUGUGGACUGUAAAGUGUGUUUCUGCGAGUCCAUCCUGCUGAGCCCUGCUGCCUCGGAUCUGUUUGUGGUCUGAGCAGGGCAAAUUAACAGCCUUUCUGAUGCUGUACAGCUCUGCUCCCUCAGUUAAUCUACCGACCAAAUCAUAUCUUACAGCUUCAAGAGAUCAGCAAGGCCGCAUUGAGAACACCACAGCAUGUUUUUAAUGCAUCUGAAAGAAACCGAUCCCUGAGUGACAAAGAGAAACUAUAAAAGGCUCCGAAAAGGGGGAUUUUGUUUAUUCGGUUUGAUAUUUGCUGUGACGGAAAUCAAGCAAGACUUGUGAAAUUAAAUUCCCUUUUUUUGUUAUUUUUACCAAUGCUGAACACGCCUGCCAAUGCCUAUUUACCCAGUAUCAUGGAGCUGAAAACACAAGUGUGUCAUCUCCAUGGAAACUGCUCCACAAACAAAUUGGAAAGCCUGCAGUUGUCACGGUCACUGAAUACAUGAAUCAUCCUGUAAAAGAAAAUCACAGCAGGGUCAAAUUUAAGAGGCUGUUUUCAGGUUUAGACCACAACUGAGUGUGUAAAAAUUUACAACCCGAUGUUUUUGUUUGAAGAAAAUAUGAUUACUCUUACAGGAGGUGUAUUAAACAAGUCCUUAAAUGAACUUUUACUGUCGAGUUUAACCUGAUUCUUACAUUUUGUCUCAAUUUUGUUGAAGGAAAAGACAUUGAAGAGGAGAGGGACCGUCCAGUUUGUUAUCAGCACACAGUUCAACGCCGGUACCCCUGAUCAUAUGGGAACUUGGGAAUUUGGUGCUCUUAUAUUAGUAUCUUUUCCUGUUGUUUUAUUUUAUUUUAUUUAUUACUUGUCAAUGUCGAUGGUAAUGUCAGCUUUAUUUAUAUAGCACGUUUAAAAACAGCCAGUGGCCUACCAAAGUGCUUUACAGUAAAAUAGCUAGAGACAAUAAAAAAAUAAGAGCAUAAAAACAUAAAACAACAAUAUAGAUAAACAUAGCAAAUAAAUGAAAUACCCGAUAAAAGUAGCUUUACUUCCCCAAAAGCUAAAGUGAACAGGUGCGUCUACAGAAGUGUUUUAAAAGUGGAAAGGCUGUUAGAUAUUUCUGAAAUUUUAUUUUAGGUUACUCAGUUUUUAGAUUUUUACCUAAACCUCCAGUGUUUCCUUAUCUUGAAUUUUAAAAUGGCGCUUCUUCAGUGCGCUCAUUCCAGUUUUUAUGAAAUUGACCCCUUUUCAAGUUCAUGCAUUUUAAUACAUGUUUCUAU